Molecule: ribosomal RNA, 460 nt
Filed under: uncultured bacterium
Lineage: Bacteria
Description: partial 16S ribosomal RNA
Rfam family: Bacterial small subunit ribosomal RNA
Source: RNAcentral
CCUACGGGUGGCUGCAGUGAGGAAUAUUGGUCAAUGGGCGGGAGUCUGAACCAGCCAAGUAGCGUGAGGGAUGAAUGCCCUAUGGGUCGUAAACUUCUUUUGUACGGGAAUAACACGAUGCACUUGUGCCUUUCUGCAGGUACUUUGUGAAUAAGGAUCGGCUAACUCCGUGCCAGCAGCCGCGGUAAUACGGAGGGUCCGAGCGUUAUCCGGAUUUAUUGGGUUUAAAGGGAGCGUAGGUGGGUCGUUAAGUCCGUCGUGAAAGUUUGCGGCUCAACCGGCAAAUUGCAAUUGAUACUGGAAGUCUUGAGUACAGAUGAGGCAGGCGGAAUUCGUGGUGUAGCGGUGAAAUGCAUAGAUAUCACGAAGAACCCCGAUUGCGAAGGCAGCCUACCAAAGUGCGACUGACACUGAGGCUCGAAGGUGCGGGUAUCAAACAGGAUUAGAUACCCUGGUAGUC